GAUGAAGAACGUAGCGAAAUGCGAUAAGUAAUGUGAAUUGCAGAAUUCAGUGAAUCAUCGAAUCUUUGAACGCAUAUUGCGCCCGCCAGUAUUCUGGCGGGCAUGCCUGUUCGAGCGUCAUUACAACCCUCAGGCCCCCGGGCCUGGCGUUGGGGAUCGGCGGAAGCCCCCUGCGGGCACAACGCCGUCCCCCAAAUACAGUGGCGGUCCCGCCGCAGCUUCCAUUGCGUAGUAGCUAACACCUCGCAACUGGAGAGCGGCGCGGCCACGCCGUAAAACACCCAACUUCUGAAUGUUGACCUCGAAUCAGGUAGGAAUACCCGCUGAACUUAAGCAUAUCAAUAAGCGGAGGA
Molecule: unclassified non-coding RNA, 353 nt
Filed under: soil metagenome
Description: partial contains 5.8S ribosomal RNA, internal transcribed spacer 2, and large subunit ribosomal RNA
Rfam family: 5.8S ribosomal RNA (bases 1-120)
Source: RNAcentral